AUUUAUUAAUUUAUUAAUUAUUAUUUUUUGUAAGAAUUUUUUGUUUUAUUAUUUUCAAGAAAGAAUUUUUUUUAUUAUAGUUUAUUAUGUACUGUGAGGGGAAUUUUUAAAGUUUUUAAAAGAAAAUUUAAUUUAUUGUACCUUUUGUAUCAGGGUUUAUUAAUUAAUUUUAUUUAUUUAUUUUUCUCGAAUUUUAAGGGGCUAGUUAUUAAUUUAUUUUAUUGUUAAAUAAAUAUUUUCAAUUUAUAGCUUGAAACGAAACAUUAUUCGUCUUGGAAUAUAUCUAGUUUCCUAGGAAUUAGAUUCAAUCUAUUUAAUUGAAGGGUUAUUAUUAAUUUAUAUUUUUCUUUUUAAUUAUUAAAUAUUUAAAGGGAUUAGCUUUUAAUUUUUUUAUAAUUUUUUUUUUUUAUUAUGUAGGAUUAGAAUUUUUCUUCAUUUGAAUUAUGUUUUAAUUUAAUAAUUUGUGUUAUUAUUUCUUUUUAUUUAAAAUUUUACUUGGAUUUUUUGAUUAAUUUAUAAUUUUUAGUAAAAAUGAUAAAAUUAGUAAUAAUAUUUGUAUUUAUUUAUUUUAUUUUAAUUUAAAUUAAGGAAUUCGGCAAUUAUAUUUUUCGCCUGUUUAAUAAAAACAUGUCCUUUUGAUUAUUAUUUAAGGUCUUGCCUGCCCACUGAUUUAUUGAAGGGCCGCAGUAUUCUGACUGUGCAAAGGUAGC
RNAcentral lists this ribosomal RNA (710 nucleotides) under Attagenus unicolor japonicus. RNAcentral's name for it is "partial large subunit ribosomal RNA". The record is from RNAcentral. Lineage: Eukaryota; Metazoa; Arthropoda; Insecta; Coleoptera; Dermestidae.